UGAGAGCACAGCAGGAGGGAUAAUGAUCGGGAUAUAACCCAAGCAUUCGAGCUGGCAAAGGCUACCUUCUUUGGGUCCCCUCCCUUUGUGUGGGAGCUCUGUUUUCACUCUAUUAAAUCUUGCAACUGCACUCUUCUGGUCCGUGUUUGUUACAGAUCAAGCUGAGCUGAGCUCGCCAUCCACCACUGCUGUUUGCCGCCAUCGCAGACCCGCAGCUGACUUCCAUCCCUCCAGAUCCAGCAGGGUGUCUGCUGUGCUCCUGAUCCAGCCAGGUGCCCAUUGCCACUCCUGAUCAGGCUAAAGGCUUGCCAUUGUUCCUGCACUGCUAAGUGCCUGGGUUCGUCCUAAUGGAGCUGAACACUAGUCACUGGGUUCCAUGGUUCUCUUCUGUGACCCACGGCUUGUAAUAGAGCUAUAACACUCACCACAGGGCCCAAGAUUCCAUUCCUUGGAAUCCGUGAGGCCAAGAACCCCAGGUCAGAGAACACGAGGCUUGCCACCAUCUUGGAAGUGGCCUGCCGCCAUUUUGGAAGUGGCCUGCCACCAUCUUGGGAGCUCUCAGAGCAAGGACCCCCAGGUACUCAUCUAGGUAAUCAUGACACAUGGAUGAACAAACACUUAUAAAGUCCUGUUCUAAUGCAGCUUCUGUUAGUGGAAACUUAUAUUCUAGUUCAUCUUCUGCAUUCUAGAAAAAGUGUCAAGAAAAGAAUAUGAAAAGGUGAGACAAAAGUGACCUUUUGCUUACAAAUUCAUUCUAAGAGGAAAGGCUGAUAUAAAGACUUAAAAUUACAAAACAACAAGGCGUGAUUACCAGCUGAAAGUGUAUUGUGUCACACAUAGCACAGAAGAAAGAGUGAGUCACACUAUUGGGUAAAAAACAGAAAGAGUUUUGCUAAGAAAUAGGCUCUAUUUUGGCUGCAUUUUGAAAGCAGGGUUAAAAGUUGCUAAAAUAAAAUUGAGUAUGUUAGCAAAUGUACAAAAUCUAACAAUUUUGGAGUGGAGAUAAAGGGUUAUUUUAACAACAAGCAAAAUUUUGUCUUACAAAAUUUUACAUUCUUCUUGCUUCUUCCUUUUAUCCCUCUUUGUAUGAAAGCAUUAUAACCAUUAUAAUGGAA
RNAcentral lists this long non-coding RNA (1115 nucleotides) under Homo sapiens (human). RNAcentral's name for it is "HSALNT0125148". The record is from RNAcentral. Lineage: Eukaryota; Metazoa; Chordata; Mammalia; Primates; Hominidae.